AAAAGGUGACCGACUCUUCGGAGAGCUUGCACAGGUGCUGCAUGGCUGUCGUCAGCUCGUGUCGUGAGAUGUUCGGUUAAGUCCGCUAACGAGCGCAACCCUCGCUGUGUGUUACAAGUGUCACACGGUACUGCCGGUCUUAAGCCGGAGGAAGGUGGGGAUGACGUCAAGUCAGCAUGGCCUUUAUAUCCUGGGCUACACACACGCUACAAUGGCCAACACAAUAGGUUGCUAAACCGCGAGGUGGAGCCAAUCCAAAAAAGUUGGUCUCAGUUCAGAUUGUAGGCUGCAACUCGCCUGCAUGAAGAUGGAGUUGCUAGUAAACGCAGGUCAGCUAUACUGCGUUGAAUACGUUCCCGGGGCUUGUACACACCGCCCGUCACGUCAUGGAAGUUGGCAACACCUGAAGCCGGUAUCCUAACCGUAAGGAGGGAGCCGUCGAAGGUGGGGUCGAUAACUGGGACGAAGUCGUAACAAGGUAGGUGUACCGGAAGGUGCGCCU
RNAcentral lists this ribosomal RNA (502 nucleotides) under uncultured Leptolinea sp. Its description in RNAcentral is "bacterial SSU rRNA". It matches the Rfam family "Bacterial small subunit ribosomal RNA", at positions 1003 to 1519 of the family's 1533-position model. The record is from RNAcentral. Lineage: Bacteria; Bacillati; Chloroflexota; Anaerolineae; Anaerolineales; Anaerolineaceae.